This 499-nucleotide ribosomal RNA is filed under the name uncultured Glomeromycotina. Its description in RNAcentral is "partial small subunit ribosomal RNA". It matches the Rfam family "Eukaryotic small subunit ribosomal RNA", at positions 591 to 1092 of the family's 1831-position model. Lineage: Eukaryota; Fungi; Glomeromycota. The record is from RNAcentral.
CCAAUAGCGUAUAUUAAAGUUGUUGCAGUUAAAAUGCUCGUAGUUGAAUUUCGAGACCGGCUUACUGGUCGUGCUUUUGUGCGUACUGGUAUAAUCGGUUUCUCCUUUCUGACGAACUUUAAUGCCAUUAAUUUGGUGUUUUAGGGAAUCAGGACUGUUACUUUGAAAAAAUUAGAGUGUUUAAAGCAGGCUCACGCUUGAAUACAUUAGCAUGGAAUAACGGAAUAGGACGUUUGAUUCUAUUUUGUUGGUUUCUAGGAUCGACGUAAUGAUUAAUAGGGAUAGUUGGGGGCAUUAGUAUUCAAUUGUCAGAGGUGAAAUUCUUGGAUUUAUUGAAGACUAACUACUGCGAAAGCAUUUGCCAAGGAUGUUUUCAUUAAUCAAGAACGAAAGUUAGGGGAUCGAAGAUGAUCAGAUACCGUCGUAGUCUUAACCAUAAACUAUGCCGACUAGGGAUCGGAUGAUGUUAAUUUUUUAAUGACUCAUUCGGCGCCUUACG